UGCUGGGUGGAUUAGUGGCGAACGGGUGAGUAACACGUGGGUGAUCUGCCCUGCACUUCGGGAUAAGCCUGGGAAACUGGGUCUAAUACCGGAUAGGACCUCGGGAUGCAUGUUCCGGGGUGGAAAGGUUUUCCGGUGCAGGAUGGGCCCGCGGCCUAUCAGCUUGUUGGUGGGGUAACGGCCCACCAAGGCGACGACGGGUAGCCGGCCUGAGAGGGCGACCGGCCACACUGGGACUGAGACACGGCCCAGACUCCUACGGGAGGCAGCAGUGGGGAAUAUUGCACAAUGGGCGCAAGCCUGAUGCAGCGACGCCGCGUGAGGGAUGACGGCCUUCGGGUUGUAAACCUCUUUCAGUACCGACGAAGCGCGAGUGACGGUAGGUACAGAAGAAGCACCGGCCAACUACGUGCCAGCAGCCGCGGUAAUACGUAGGGUGCGAGCGUUGUCCGGAAUUACUGGGCGUAAAGAGCUCGUAGGCGGUUUGUCGCGUCGUCUGUGAAAACCCGCAGCUCAACUGCGGGCUUGCAGGCGAUACGGGCAGACUUGAGUACUGCAGGGGAGACUGGAAUUCCUGGUGUAGCGGUGAAAUGCGCAGAUAUCAGGAGGAACACCGGUGGCGAAGGCGGGUCUCUGGGCAGUAACUGACGCUGAGGAGCGAAAGCGUGGGUAGCGAACAGGAUUAGAUACCCUGGUAGUCCACGCCGUAAACGGUGGGCGCUAGGU
Molecule: ribosomal RNA, 726 nt
Filed under: Rhodococcus sp. (in: high G+C Gram-positive bacteria)
Lineage: Bacteria; Bacillati; Actinomycetota; Actinomycetes; Mycobacteriales; Nocardiaceae
Description: bacterial SSU rRNA
Rfam family: Bacterial small subunit ribosomal RNA
Source: RNAcentral